RNAcentral lists this ribosomal RNA (378 nucleotides) under uncultured bacterium. RNAcentral describes it as "bacterial SSU rRNA". It matches the Rfam family "Bacterial small subunit ribosomal RNA", at positions 521 to 896 of the family's 1533-position model. The record is from RNAcentral.
UAAUACGGAGGGGGCAAGCGUUGUUCGGAUUUACUGGGUGUAAAGGGUGCCUAGGCGGCCGCGCAAGUCGAAUGUGAAAGCCCUCGGCUCAACCGAGGAACGGCAUUGGAAACUGCGUGGCUUGAGUAUGGGAGAGGAGAGCGGAAUUCUCGGUGUAGCGGUGGAAUGCGUAGAUAUCGAGAAGAACACCAGUGGCGAAGGCGGCUCUCUGGACCAAUACUGACGCUGACGCACGAAAGCCAGGGGAGCGAACGGGAUUAGAUACCCCGGUAGUCCUGGCCGUAAACGUUGCAGACUGGGUGUUGGAGGUAUCGACCCCUUCAGUGCCGACGCUAACGCAUUAAGUCUGCCACCUGGGGGAGUACGGUCGCAAGGCUG